UUAUGGCUCAGAUUGAACGCUGGCGGCAGGCUUAACACAUGCAAGUCGAGCGGGGAAGAGUAGCUUGCUACUUACCUAGCGGCGGACGGGUGAGUAAUGCUUAGGAAUCUGCCUAUUAGUGGGGGACAACAUCUCGAAAGGGAUGCUAAUACCGCAUACGUCCUACAGGAGAAAGCAGGGGACCUUCGGGCCUUGCGCUAAUAGAUGAGCCUAAGUCGGAUUAGCUAGUUGGUGGGGUAAAGGCCUACCAAGGCGACGAUCUGUAGCGGGUCUGAGAGGAUGAUCCGCCACACUGGGACUGAGACACGGCCCAGACUCCUACGGGAGGCAGCAGUGGGGAAUAUUGGACAAUGGGGGGAACCCUGAUCCAGCCAUGCCGCGUGUGUGAAGAAGGCCCUUUUGGUUGUAAAGCACUUUAAGCGAGGAGGAGGCUACCGAGAUUAAUACUCUUGGAUAGUGGACGUUACUCGCAGAAUAAGCACCGGCUAACUCUGUGCCAGCAGCUGC
Molecule: ribosomal RNA, 507 nt
Filed under: uncultured bacterium
Lineage: Bacteria
Description: bacterial SSU rRNA
Rfam family: Bacterial small subunit ribosomal RNA
Source: RNAcentral